RNAcentral lists this long non-coding RNA (750 nucleotides) under Capsicum annuum. RNAcentral describes it as "long non-coding RNA (CANN_LNC012513)". Lineage: Eukaryota; Viridiplantae; Streptophyta; Magnoliopsida; Solanales; Solanaceae. The record is from RNAcentral.
CAAUUCUACUAUCAUCUUCACAAAUCAGCUUUCUAUAAUCCCUAAAUAUCAUCAUAACAUAAAAUACAUAUUAACUACUUGAACACAAUACUUAACAGUCAAAAAAAUACAUUUACAAAUAAAAAAAUACUUCUUUCUCACUUUCUUCUUCAGAUUCAUCAGCAUAAGAUUUGUCAACAUCGUCUUCAAUUCUUUUAGAUUUCCUUUUUGUCUCAUAUCAUUUUUUAGAUUUUUACUCCUUUGGAGAAGGAGUUUUCUUCAACCCUUUUCUUUUCAAAUUUCAGUCAUCUUCACUUCGUCGUUGCGAAACUUCGACCUAAUCUUCUUCGAUCUCCCAGAUUUCUUCAACUAUAACGGAUUUGAAACAACUUUAACUAAAUCUUCUUGAGUUAAAUCAAGACUAAAAGAUGGUGCAUCAAACACUAAAUUCAUAUUCCUUAUACCAAUGUUUGUAGGUGUUUUUGUUGUGUGUUCAUCCAUUAAAACACAAAACCUUUAAAAUCUGAAUUUCAGAUGAAUUAAAGUAGAAAAAAAUAAAUAAACUUCUAACAUGCAAUAUGCGAUUAAUGGUUACCUGUAAUAGAGGAAGCAAAUCCUUAUCACAGAUCAUGCAAGAAUCGUGCAAAAGACAAUAAAAUUAACGCAGAAGUGAUGGUUAAUAGCAAAAAAAAAAAAGAAUAAAAAUUUUAAAUUAAAAAAAGAGAAAGGAGUGAAAAAUGUAAUUAGAAAAAAAUAUUAUUAUUUUUUUGU